AUACGGAGGGUGCGAGCGUUAAUCGGAAUUACUGGGCGUAAAGCGCGCGUAGGCGGUUUGUUAAGUCGGAUGUGAAAUCCCCGGGCUCAACCUGGGACCUGCAUCCGAUACUGGCAGGCUAGAGUCUGGUAGAGGGGGGUAGAAUUCCUGGUGUAGCGGUGAAAUGCGUAGCUAUCAGGAGGAAUACCAGUGGCGAAGGCGGCCCCCUGGACUGAGACUGACGCUGAGGUGCGAAAGCGUGGGGAGCAAACAGGAUUAGAAACCCUAGUAGUCC
Molecule: ribosomal RNA, 274 nt
Filed under: uncultured bacterium
Lineage: Bacteria
Description: partial 16S ribosomal RNA
Rfam family: Bacterial small subunit ribosomal RNA
Source: RNAcentral